AGAAGGUUCAGUUUGUGACUGGAUCAGGUAGUAGUAGGAAGGUUCAGUUUGUGACUGGAUCAGGUAGUAAGGAGAAGGUUCAGUUUGUGACUGGAUCAGGUAGAUCUGCCACUGACAUGGCCUUUCAUCUGAGGCAGCCAUUUGUAGUCAUCCUGGGAUUCGGUGUUAAUGUCGGAGAUGAGUGUGUGUCCCACACAUCUUGGCUUGGAAUGUCACACCAAGCGCUUUGGCGCUGGAUACCACCUCAAGUGUGUGGCCGGAGAUGGAUAAUGGCGGAGGUGGGUCAGGAUUGUGUCUAAAACAGGUGUACAUGACUUUGCACUUGGUUGGGUUGAACUUCAUCUUGUUUGGUUCUGACCAGUCGGCUAAUUAGUUGAGGAUCUGCUGUAUGGUGGAAGUGUCACCUAUGGGUCUUGAUUCGAUGAGGUUCAGGUCAUCCACCUAGGCCCAGGUGUUGCAUAGGGUACCCUCUGAUGUACCAUUGACGUGAGCCACGAAUACAAUUGGACCAAGCCGUGUGCCGUGGGGGCAGGCCACAGGAGAGUUCUUGGGCCUGCGAUACAGUGUCAUGGUAUUUUGUCACCUGACUACUGUCGGAAUGGAAGUUACAAAUCCAUGGCAUGAUCUCUGGUCGGUCAGAUAAUUCCAAAAGGUGUUUCAUUGCAUUGGUGUGAUCCACAAGAUCAAAAAAGGUCUUCCUGGUUAGAACAGAGAGUAGUUUCCUGUGCAUUUCCCAUAGUUCAACAGUCGGAAGUGAAUGCAGUUAGGUCUGACAGGUUUAGUGGUGGUAAUGAUGUGGUGACAAAUAACUGGUCAUUCAAUUGUCUGGGUCGAGCCGCUCAGCUUUGAUUGAGACGGUCUUUUUAGUGCUGGUCAGAGAUUUAAUUUGAUGGUACCAUGUGGCUGGGUUCGCCUUCUUGUUUUUCUGGAUUUCGGUGUGGUAGAAUGUUGAUCUUGCUGCCUGGAUCUGUCUCUGGGUUGUGUUUCUCAGAGUGCUCCAUGAAGGCCAGUCUUUUUCACUGAAGGUUUUCUGUCUGCUUUGAAUCAGCUCUUUGAUUCUCGGUGAAAUCAGCUCCUUAUCCUGUGCAUGCAUCCUAACCACCCCUUUUGGGAAGUAAGCUGCAAUGG
RNAcentral lists this long non-coding RNA (1128 nucleotides) under Salmo salar (Atlantic salmon). Its description in RNAcentral is "lncRNA (ENSSSAG00000110825.1)". Lineage: Eukaryota; Metazoa; Chordata; Actinopteri; Salmoniformes; Salmonidae. The record is from RNAcentral.